This 1524-nucleotide ribosomal RNA is filed under the name uncultured bacterium. RNAcentral describes it as "16S ribosomal RNA". It matches the Rfam family "Bacterial small subunit ribosomal RNA". The record is from RNAcentral.
UUAGAGUUUGAUCAUAGCUCAGGACGAACGCUGGCGGCGUGCCUAAUACAUGCAAGUCGAGCGAGCGGAACUAACAGAUUUACUUCGGUAAUGACGUUAGGAAAGCGAGCGGCGGAUGGGUGAGUAACACGUGGGGAACCUGCCCCAUAGUCUGGGAUACCACUUGGAAACAGGUGCUAAUACCGGAUAAGAAAGCAGAUCGCAUGAUCAGCUUUUAAAAGGCGGCGUAACUGUCGCUAUGGGAUGGCCCCGCGGUGCAUUAGCUAGUUGGUAAGGUAAAGGCUUACCAAGGCGAUGAUGCAUAGCCGAGUUGAGAGACUGAUCGGCCACAUUGGGACUGAGACACGGCCCAAACUCUACGGGAGGCAGCAGUAGGGAAUCUUCCACAAUGGGCGCAAGCCUGAUGGAGCAACACCGCGUGAGUGAAGAAGGGUUUCGGCUCGUAAAGCUCUGUUGUUGGAGAAGAACGUGCGUGAGAGUAACUGUUCACGCAGUGACGGUAUCCAACCAGAAAGUCACGGCUAACUACGUGCCAGCAGCCGCGGUAAUACGUAGGUGGCAAGCGUUAUCCGGAUUUAUUGGGCGUAAAGCGAGCGCAGGCGGUUGCUUAGGUCUGAUGUGAACUUCGGCUUAACCGAAGAAGUGCAUCGGAAACCGGGCAACUUGAGUGCAGAAGAGGACAGUGGAACUCCAUGUGUAGCGGUGGAAUGCGUAGAUAUAUGGAAGAACACCAGUGGCGAAGGCGGCUSUCUGGUCUGCAACUGACGCUGAGGCUCGAAAGCAUGGGUAGCGAACAGGAUUAGAUACCCUGGUAGUCCAUGCCGUAAACGAUGAGUGCUARGUGUUGGRRGGUUUCCGCCYUUCAGUGCCGCAGCUAACGCAUUAAGCACUCCGCCUGGGGAGUACGACCGCAAGGUUGAAACUCAAAGGAAUUGACGGGGGCCCGCACAAGCGGUGGAGCAUGUGGUUUAAUUCGAAGCWACGCGAAGAACCUUACCAGGUCUUGACAUCUWGYGCUAAYYUGUAGAGAUAMGGAGUUCCCUUCGGGGACGCWAWGACAGGUGGUGCAUGGUCGUCGUCAGCUCGUGUCGUGAGAUGUUGGGUUAAGUCCCGCAACGAGCGCAACCCUUGUUACUAGUUGCCAGCAUUAAGUUGGGCACUCUAGUGAGACUGCCGGUGACAAACCGGAGGAAGGUGGGGACGACGUCAGAUCAUCAUGCCCCUUAUGACCUGGGCUACACACGUGCUACAAUGGACGGUACAACGAGUCGCAAGCUCGCGAGAGUAAGCUAAUCUCUUAAAGCCGUUCUCAGUUCGGACUGUAGGCUGCAACUCGCCUACACGAAGUCGGAAUCGCUAGUAAUCGCGGAUCAGCAUGCCGCGGUGAAUACGUUCCCGGGCCUUGUACACACCGCCCGUCACACCAUGGGAGUYUGYAAYGCCCAAAGYCGGUGGCCUAACCUUYRUGGARGGAGCCGYCUAAGGCAGGRCAGAUGACUGGGGUGAAGUCGUAACAAGGUAACC